Molecule: long non-coding RNA, 757 nt
Filed under: Amazona collaria (yellow-billed parrot)
Lineage: Eukaryota; Metazoa; Chordata; Aves; Psittaciformes; Psittacidae
Description: lncRNA (ENSACOG00000001202.1)
Source: RNAcentral
GCACUGUUGACAGAUAAGGGUGAAGAAGUGAUCCUAAAAAAGCAGCAUAUGCAUCUCUCUUGAAGAACUGCUUGUUUGUAACAGCACUUGGAACUUGCACCACUGAGCAUUCUGAUUCCGUUACACUGAUUUUACAGAGCUGUGAUUGCAUAGAUUUUGGUGGAGUUACAUUAGUGUAGGAAGGUGGAAACUCAGGUUUCCAGGGAAGCCUAGUUAUUGUCUGAACACACUGUGCAAGCAUUGUAAGGUUGCUAGAAUGUUUCACCUCUCCCCUAGGUCCUGGCCCUUCUGGUGUGUACUGCCUGUGUGAUGUGUUUCAUUGCAGCUGUUCAUAGGGUUUUUACACUUGCUACCCAGCUCAAAUGAUUCAAUGACUUCAUCAUUGUGAACUAUCAUAAAUUCUUCAUGAAUUCUUCGUCAGUUCUUCAUUAUGAAGAAUCAAGUAUGUGUUGUUUGAGAUAGGGCAUACAUACAGCCUGGGCCAUGCACUUGCUGACAUCUGGGCCAUGAAUGUUUGUCUGUACACCUGCUGCCUAACCUCCUGGAUGCCUGAUGGAUGAAUACUUCUAUAGCAAGAAUCCUUUCUUUAGUACAGGAAUGGUCAGAGGAUCAUCCCUGCAGACCUCUCUGAUUCACUCAAACUGUUUCUUCUGGCUGCACGUUUCCAUUUCCUGCAGAAGGAUUCAUAAAGGACACUGGACAUGGAAAGGCAAAUUCCUGGAAAGGAAGAACAACUUAAAGACUACAAGAAAGUUCA